CGCCUUUCACCUUAAUAACACUGAAACGUGUACACACUACUAAUAUAAGACAUCCAUCUUCCAUCACUGGAUCAAACAUAAAUCUCUAACAAAAAACCAAAGCCAAUUUAAACCUAAACAAUAUCUAUGUUAAAAUAAAUGACACCAAAGCCACUAACCUAAAGUCUCAUCUCAUAUAAUCCUUAUGAGUACAUAUUCAAUGUUAAAUAGCAUGUUAGGCUACCAAUGUAUUUGCGAAUUAAUUAUAGCACUCAUGCUUAUAGAUCCUUAUGAUAUGUCAUAACACCACAUCAACCUCAAGUGAGCCAUUGAAAAGGGAGAAAUCAAUG
This 329-nucleotide unclassified non-coding RNA is filed under the name Hevea brasiliensis (rubber tree). The record is from RNAcentral. Lineage: Eukaryota; Viridiplantae; Streptophyta; Magnoliopsida; Malpighiales; Euphorbiaceae.